CCUACGGGUGGCAGCAGUGAGGAAUAUUGGUCAAUGGACGCGAGCCUGAACCCUCCAAGUAGCGUGAAGGAUGACUGCCCUACGGGGUGUUAACUUCUUUUAUAAAGGAAUCAAGUGAGGCACGUGUGCCUUUUUGUAUGUACUUUAUGAAUAAGGAUCGGCUAACUCCGUGCCAGCAGCCGCGGUAAUUGGGAGGAUCCGGGCGUUAUCCGGAUUUAUUGGGUGUAAGGGGAGCGUAGAUGGGUUGUUAAGUCAGUUGUGAAAGUGUGCGGCUCAACCGUAAAAUUGCAAUUGAUACUGGCAGUCUUGAGUACAGUUGAGGUAGGCGGAAUUCGUGGUGUAGCGGUGAAAUGCUUAGAUAUCACGAAGAACUCCUAUUGCGAAGGCAGCGUACUAAACUGCCACUGACAUUGAUGCUCGAAAGUGUGGGUAUCAAACAGGAUUAGAUACCCGGGUAGUC
RNAcentral lists this ribosomal RNA (460 nucleotides) under uncultured bacterium. RNAcentral describes it as "partial 16S ribosomal RNA". It matches the Rfam family "Bacterial small subunit ribosomal RNA", at positions 338 to 795 of the family's 1533-position model. The record is from RNAcentral.